This 72-nucleotide transfer RNA is filed under the name Vicugna pacos (alpaca). Its description in RNAcentral is "tRNA-Ala (AGC) (tRNA-Ala-AGC-15-1)". It matches the Rfam family "tRNA". From Rfam's summary of the family: Transfer RNA (tRNA) molecules are approximately 80 nucleotides in length. Their secondary structure includes four short double-helical elements and three loops (D, anti-codon, and T loops). Lineage: Eukaryota; Metazoa; Chordata; Mammalia; Artiodactyla; Camelidae. The record is from Rfam by way of RNAcentral.
GAGGGUGUAGCUCAGUGGUAGAGCACAUGCUUAGCAUGCAUGAGGUCCUGGGUUCAAUCCCCAGCACCUCCA